This is a long non-coding RNA of Hydra vulgaris (swiftwater hydra), 132 nucleotides long. RefSeq lists it as uncharacterized. NCBI's taxonomy places the organism in Eukaryota, Metazoa, Cnidaria, Hydrozoa, Anthoathecata, Hydridae. The record is from RefSeq and is a predicted model, not a curated record.
UAUAUGUAUUUUCUCUUAGCAAAAAUAAUUGAGAAUAGAAAAAUAAAAAAAAUUUCUUCUGGAAUUUGUCAAAAGGGUGUUGUGUUAUUCUUCAUUUCAAGAGCAGUUAAGAGGAGCUGAUCGCUUUUUUAG